Molecule: transfer RNA, 73 nt
Filed under: Clostridia bacterium
Lineage: Bacteria; Bacillati; Bacillota; Clostridia
Description: tRNA-Ala
Rfam family: tRNA
About the family: Transfer RNA (tRNA) molecules are approximately 80 nucleotides in length. Their secondary structure includes four short double-helical elements and three loops (D, anti-codon, and T loops).
Source: RNAcentral
GGGCUUGUAGCUCAGUUGGGAGAGCGCUGCGUUCGCAACGCAGAGGUCAUGGGUUCGAAUCCCAUCAGGUCCA